Molecule: non-coding RNA, 101 nt
Organism: Chelonoidis abingdonii (Abingdon island giant tortoise)
Lineage: Eukaryota; Metazoa; Chordata; Testudines; Testudinidae
Source: RefSeq, a predicted model, not a curated record
UGCUUGGAGCCCUACACUAGCACUUUGAAGUGCUGAGACUUGCUGUGCUCAGGGAGCGUGAUUUUUCACACUCCUGAGCCAGCGAUGGCUUCAGCCACCAG